Long non-coding RNA from Cyprinodon tularosa, 4809 nucleotides. RefSeq lists it as uncharacterized. The record is from RefSeq and is a predicted model, not a curated record. Lineage: Eukaryota; Metazoa; Chordata; Actinopteri; Cyprinodontiformes; Cyprinodontidae. The transcript is spliced from 2 exons.
GUUAGGUUAGGGAGGAGUGUAAGGGAGGACUGGCAGCUCUGCCUUCAGACUCUCAUAUGAAUCUCCUGGGACAAUGGGUGAAACUCUCCCUGUGUCUGCACUGUAACUCUGGGCUGAGUGUCUCACUAGUAGCUGUGUCCUCAGAGUGAUUGAUCAGGCUUGCAGGCAGGCAGACAGCUGGCUGGGUGUGUUAACUCCACAUCUGACCUCUAUGGGAACAGAGCUAUCUCCUCUCCUCGCCAAGCAGACUGUGGGAACCAGGGGGACAGAGUUUUAUCCUCCCGCCCCACCACCGCCACCCCGCCUCUCCCUGCUUCUUGCUGGGCCGUAUAGCUCAUAGAACUGGCAGUGGACAGACCGGGACAUGACAGGACAAGACAGCUCUGGCAGCCAGACCUCUGAGGAUUUCCACUGCAGAAGGAGUUUUGGAGCUGCCUCCGUCACUCAGAUAGCCAGGCAUUUUUCUUGUCAGUUAUUAGCCAGAUUACAGUUAGUCAUCCAGUAAAUCAGUCACCAGGGUCUUCUACUCUGCAUAUCCUCAUUUGAACUCUGAUGGGACUCAAACCCUAUCCUGGACCGCUAGAGGACCAGCAGAGGUUACAGUGCUCCACAGCUGCUGCAUAAGAGAAACAUCCAGAGUCCAAAAACCGUGCAAGAGAGCAGAGGGGGGUAAAGGGCAGAGAGGUGGAGACCAGGCCUCUGGUCUAGCUGCUUAGGGGAGGGUUCCUGGCACCGUGAUUUGAUGCACAAAGAGAAACAAAAAUCACAUUGCCAGGGAUUUCCACUCCUUGACAGCUCAGUGGGAACCCUGACCCAACCUCACAUUUCACUCUUGGCUGCAUGCGUUCUCAGGCCGGACUCUAGAGUGCUAAAGAAAUUAAACAGGAAUUUUAUCAACCAUCUCAGCAGACCUCUAAAAGGUUGAUCGCUUCUGUGUGUAUUUAAGGCUCCAGCUGUUUGAAAUUUAAACUAGUCUCCCCACUCUCCGCUCUAAUGUCCCAGGAAAUGGGUGUAAAUGCAAACCAGAGCCCCACAAGACAAGGUGGGAUUUUAGAUUUACAGCAUAAGCAAGGAAUUUCUCAAGAUAUAUGAAAUAAGUGAAGAUCCUCCACAGCACUAUGCCCUCUGAAAAACGUUGCUUGAACUGCUGGCUCCGAGACCACUGACUUCACUGCCGACUUCUCACGUAAAGGUCUGCAUAAAUCUCAGCCAGCCACCCACUUGCUGAGGGCACAGAGCUUAGCUAAUUGGUGAGCAUUGAUCCCUUCAAUGUGUUGUUCACAGUGGCUAAGUUCAGUGCCCGAGGUGAAAUAGUUGAUACGACGUCGAGGAUUUGUUCCAGUGGAUGGACAGAACUUGAUGAUCUCGGAAAAGGUGAAAGAUGAAGGAAUUAAGGAGGAAAGUAGGAAGGAGAGUAUUGUAGGGGAUGAGGUUCAAAUACAAUCAUGUCACCAUUAUGACCUAAAGCAGUGGUUCCCUACCUUUUUGGACUUCUGUACCCCCUUGGCCAUUUUAAUCAUACCAUCAGUUCCCCCUGCGUCAAAUGUAUUGAUUAUUUUCAAAAAAUAGAAAGUACAACUGAUUAUAAGAUAAAAACAAUUAAAUUAAAUUCUCAGACAUUUAAUUCUUUUCAUUUAGAAUAAAAAAAUAACAUAAAUAUGCUGCCUAGAAAGUGAUAAAUAAAAUUAUAUUUUUAUUCACUGUCAUUAUUACUUUGUUUUCAUCAUUCACUGUGUUAAUUGAAUUUGCUUGAAUUUUCUUUUCUUGUGGAUGAGAAGACUGUGAUAUAGGCCGUCACAAUCAAAACUAAUCUGACCCAUACAGUGUAUAAUAUUUUAAAGCACUUUUACAUUGCUCUGACUUUUAUGAUUAGGAAUUUUUUCAGUAAAAAAAUAAGUAAAUUUUAAUUAAAAAAAAUACAGUAACUACCACGUUUAUUAUAAACUCUAAUAAAGAUGUAUUUUAAUUCUUGAAAUAUAUAAAUCUCACACCAUAAGCGUGAGACUGAUUUUUUUUUGUUAACAUUACAUAAAAUUAUGGAUGUAUGGAUGUACAGCUGCAAUUAAUCAACUUCAAUGUAAUUUGGUGAAAUGAAACACUGUUAUUUAUAAUGAAAUAUUAAAAUAAAGAAAACUGAAGCACUUUUUACUACGGUAGUUAAACUUCACUUUUUUUAAGUAUUAGUCUAAAACUUUUUUGCUACCUGAUGUAUACAUAUAAUCAGGCAAGGAGGCACAUGUAUCUCAACUACUGUCAUACUGUCAAUUGGGCAAGAAAAACCUGCCCAUAUCUCUAAAAGUCUUUUUGAGACUGUCACAGUUUUUGUACUUUGGUAUUGAGCUUAUUUUCUAUUUGUCAGGAAAAAUCCAUUUUGAAAAGAGUUUUUCUAAAAAUGUAACUUAACUCUUUAAGUGUGUCAUAGCACUUUACAUGCAGUCCCAUUUUUCUAUUGGUAUUAUUUAAUUUUUUGAGCUUGGGCUUCAUUUUUGUUUUGAUGAUCUCAAAUACUGUUUUAUCCCAAUUUGAGUUGCGUUAUGUGGAAUCAUCACACAUUUUAGUCAGCAGUACGGUUAUUGUUAUCAUGCUUUAUAUGUGUAGGCUUUACAUAUUUUUCCAUGCACAUUCUGUGCUUUAUAAAUGUCUGUACGAAAUAUUUCAGCUUUUCUAAAGUUUUGUUGUAAAACAAGAUGAAAUUGGACAAAACAGAUUGGGUACUAAAUCUAUCCUUUUGAGAUUGCUGUCAUUGGAGGCCCAGACUUAACUCCAGACACCAUCUGUAAAAAAAUAACCGUGCAGAAUCUUUAUGAAAAGCUGUGACUUAUAUUUGUGGGUGCCACUUGCAUGAUGGGUUGAGCUUAUAUUUGUUUAAUAAGUAUGGAUUUUUGUGAAACCUUUUUUUUUUUGUGUCUGAAUCAUGUUGCACAUUAUCUAAAUACAGACCAGAAAAGAGCCAAAAACUCUAGUCAUUAAUUUCCAUAGUCUUGCUAAGAGCGUUUCCUAUUCUUGUGAAGUAACAGUUAACCAAAAGAACAUUUAGAUGAAUUACAAGCUAAAUUAUUAACAAGUCUAAUUUAAAAAAAAUAGGUUAAACAUGCUAGCUUUUGUAUUACACUUUUCCGAACCUCUCCAUAAAAAUCCCAGCAAUGUCAGUAAGACGCGACUUAGAACAGAGGACAAACUGUUAACGAUAGACGUCUGGACAAAGGUCUAAUGACAGGAAUAUCCCAAACAUGAUCCUUACUAUUUCUUAACCUUUCAACUGUUUUCAUGACUUCAUUAUUGUUUUUAUUAAAAUCAUCUGAUCUGUUGUAGAGGAAUUAUUGUACAAUAUUUUUUAUGAUAAACUUGGUUGUCUUUUAUCUAUACAUAAGGUCAUUUUGAUUUUUGCAGCAUUUCAUAUAUUGAAGUUUGACCUGUGAAGGAGAGGCAGGGCUGUGCCCUCCUGUGCCUACUGAACUGGUAUCAGUGUUUUACCUGAAAACUGGCUCAGUUCAGCAGGAACAGGAGUGGAGCCCACUGACUUUGAGGACAAGCAUGCAGCAAGAGAACCCAGCCCAAGUUAAGAGUUUCUGCUGGUUUUAAUGGGCCGCACCCUACGCAGAGCAGGAAUGGAGCUUUGAGUCAGCCAGGAAAAUCAUAGUCAAGCACCUAAACUUGUAACUCAGCAGUUUUUUUUUUACUAUUUAAGCUCAACAUUGAUGAUCCGUAAAUAGUACUAAUUUCUUUCAGGUCAUCCCUUGGUUUCAAGCUAUCAUGUGAAUGCUGCUUUAAACUAACAGAGCUGACGCUGUUCUGCUCACCUUUCAUUUUUAUUUCCCACUCUUUCCUCCAUCUUUCCCUCCUAGAGGCCAGACUGAGACUGGAAGUCAAUUUGAAGUAAUCCCAGUGAAAUGUUUGCUAUGCUUGGGUAGUUGAUGUCAACCAGCAGUUCCCAUUUGCACCAAUGGGGACCAUGUACAAAGCUGUCCCCACCCCCAACCCCGACGCUGUAGGCAAAAAAGGACUGGUGCUUCUUAGUACAGUUUAUUCCCAGAGGAGAGUACAGGCUCAUCAUUAUGCGUGAUUAAUGUGCUCUAAUCCAGCCAUACUCUUUGAGAACAGGAACUGUAAAAGUAUGUUUCUGUUGUGCUAAAUUUCACAAGAUAAAUGUUUAAUUCAAAGCUGAGGCAGGUUAUCUACAGAAAUGGAAGAGGGUUGAUGACUGCAGGGCUUUGUUCACACCAGGUGCUACAGAAGAGAAAUUAGUGAUUUUAUGUAUAUGCUCAUUAUAACAAAAUGCCUCAUAGGAUGGUACAUAAAAUGCAUUUUUUAAAUGUCAGAACUUGUUCAAAGUGCUUAUUAAUGUCAUGCAUAAUGUGGUUUUGAGUUUGUUUCCAUUUUAAGACUAGUCCCCUAACAAUUUAAAGUAAUAACCUUUACAUAAACUUUAGAGAUAAUAUUGAUUUUUUUUAAUUCUGUAUCCUAAUUCUCUACUAACCUAUAGUGAGUACAGACUUAGUACAAGGACAGGAUGCUCCCAAUUUAUCUAAAACAUGAUAAGCUUUCUUUCUACUUGUAAAAGUAACUGUAUGCUGAUUAAAUACAGUAUAUACCGUAUGCUACUUUUUAAAAAACUUUUGAUUGUUUUUUCAAGUCUGAAGCUCUGAAUUUUAGGUUUCACUGGAUGUAAAUAUGGUUUGCUGGAGACUGAAACAUGUGUUCCUCAGCUAUUUAUGAGGGGAAAAAAUCACAUCAAAAAAUAAACAAAUGCAACUUUUCAAAAUGCUAUAUUGUCACAAACACUAAAUAAAUCUUGAAGUUAGUCAGGUC